This 421-nucleotide ribosomal RNA is filed under the name uncultured bacterium. Its description in RNAcentral is "bacterial SSU rRNA". It matches the Rfam family "Bacterial small subunit ribosomal RNA", at positions 10 to 429 of the family's 1533-position model. The record is from RNAcentral.
UGUUUGAUCCUGGCUCAGGACGAACGACUGGCGGCGUGCUUAACACAUGCAAGUCGGACGGUCGGUACUGGAAGGUUCGCUGGAAGGUGCCGAUAGUGGCGGACGGGUGAGUAACGCGUGAGGACAUGGCAGCAGGAGGGGGAUAACGUUUGGAAACGGACGCUAAGACCCCAUAAGCCGGGAGGUGAAAGUGGCGUAAGCCAGCCUGUUGAGUGACUCGCGUCCUAUCAGCUAGUUGGCGGGGUGAAGGCCCACCAAGUCGUAAGCAAGGUAGCCGACCUGAGAGGAUGGCCAGCCACACUGGAACUGAGAUCACGGUCCAGACUCCUACGGGAGGCAGCAGUGAGGAUAUCUUGCGCAAUCGGGGGAAACCGCUGACGCAGCAACGCCGCGUGAGUGAGGAAGGCCUUCGGGUCGUAAA